Molecule: long non-coding RNA, 1492 nt
Organism: Homo sapiens (human)
Lineage: Eukaryota; Metazoa; Chordata; Mammalia; Primates; Hominidae
Source: Ensembl
ACAGGCUAGGAGAAACGAACUUUGAGUAGAUGACCUGGGUUCUAAAUUCUAGUUCUGAUCAGGGGAGCUAGGAUAAGGUGCAUGGAUCCCCUGAGCCUACAUUUUCUCAUUUUAUAAAUAAGGAGACUAAAACCAAUAAUGUCUCAGGAAACACUGGACAAGCUGUUUGGGCUCUCUAGCCUUGGAUUCCUCAUUUGUAAGACAAAGAAGAUAAUCCUACCCUAUUGCCCAUGUUGGUGUGGGAAUCCACAAAGAAGGACACGGCACUGUUCCAAGUCAAGGUUACAGGGAGAAUGGAACAAGUUUCAGUAGAAGAAACUUCACCUAACCUCUUUAAUUCCAACAGUUCUUGAAUUUCCUGAAAAAUCUAUUGGUGUAUACUCAGAAAUGGAACUGUUGGAUCACAUGAUGGUUUCACAGCAGUUUCAAUGUUUUAAACGAUAGUAGUUUCACCACCUAAGAAGUUGUCUUUCAAUAAGAAGACCAAAGAGGAAGAUAUAAAAAGACUUAUUUUGGUGUAUCUCUAGGGUAUUCCCUAAGAACUGGUAUACAAUGGGUCUAGAUAUUUGAGGAAGUCUGAGUUGAUGCAUAGGCAGGUAUGGUCAAUAUGAAAUUAGGCUUAUCAGCCUGAUUUGAUUCUUACUCAGACUGGUAAGAACUGAGGAUAUAAGGGCUGAGGACAUAAAGGUCACCCCAGAUAGCCAUCUUGUGCUGAACCUGCUUUUUGGCAGGUAAGUUCUUGCCAACCCUAAUUAUUUCUGCUAACUCCCUUUGUAUUUCCAGUACCACCGUACUCAAUUAAAGAUCCAGACUCAUCUCUUACAAUAGUAAAACAUACCUAAGAUCAGGCUAUAAUGUUUACACAAGUUUAUUAUUACCUUUAGUAUUUUAUUCAAAUAAUAUCACAAAGCAUUAAAAAUUUCAGAAAUAAACCUAUAGACACACCCCUAAAACUUUAUAUGAAUAUCUCUGAGGCAAUAGGCCAUGGUUCUCUGCAGGUUAGUGGUGCAUUGUUCACUAGCUGUUAAAUUAUUCAGUGCUUACACAGUCUCCAAACCAAAUGUAUACUUUUCUUUUUUCACUCCCAUUAUCUAAGUAGUCACCAUAAAAUAGCAAUAUUUACCAAAAAUAUCUCUCAUAUCUGUUCCAUCUUCUCCAAUUCAAUAGAAUUGUCAGUGCUAAAAAAUCUACUAUUUAGCUUAAGCCUCCUUCAAUUAUUUAUUUUUCAUAAUGGGAGACACUGUAGCACAACUGUUAAAUACACAAGUUCUAGACUUAGACUGUGCGUGGUUCAAAUUAACGUCUGACUAGUGGUGUCAUCAUUGCCAAAUUACUUAAUUUCUCUGACCCAUUGCAGAAUUAACAAAAAGUACAAUAAUUAUGAUGCCUACUCCUGCAAGCAUUAAAACAAACAUGCCUAUAUACACAUAUAUGUAAAAUGUGUUUUAUAAUAUCUGGAACAAAAUGUCCAUUCAAUAAAUAUUAGCUACUA